RNAcentral lists this microRNA precursor (99 nucleotides) under Pteropus vampyrus (large flying fox). Its description in RNAcentral is "miRNA (ENSPVAG00000027647.1)". The record is from RNAcentral. Lineage: Eukaryota; Metazoa; Chordata; Mammalia; Chiroptera; Pteropodidae.
GCUAAGCGUGUUUUUUAGGCGGAGUGUCAGGUUCAUCGUACUAAUGAAAAUUCAGGAAAAUACUGGCUUGAAUUAUCGAGGCAUCUGAGUUAAAGCACU